CUCAUUGCUUGAUUAACUUCUAGUUGAGCCACUGUAGUCACUUGGACUAUUUUAACGAUGUCUUUACUAACUUUUCUGGGCCAGCAGGAUGAAAUUACCAAGAAGCCUAUGAAGGAGUGAGGCGGCUCUCAAAUUUCAUCAAAAAUAUCUUAAUUUGUGUUCAGAAGAUGAACGAAAAUGACGGGGUUGUAACAACAUGAGCGUAAGUAAUUACUGAUAGAAUUUUCAUUUUUUGCAUAAACUAACCCUUUAAACAUUACAUUUAAUGAUAACUUGUGACUGGCAAAAAUGUCAUUUCUAAUUAUCAUCUUCUUUAAUACAGAAAAGAGAGAGUGUGAAACCAUCAGCUGUUUGCUGAUUUAUUUACUGUAGGUAAAUAGUAAAGUCGUAGUGAAUGCCAUCAAUAAACAUAUAAUGAUUAUAUGGUAUGUACUGUAUAUCUAAUUUUUUUUUGGUCCCCAGUCUGCUAAAAAAGACCUGUCCAGUGUAUACCAACAUGAAAAAAAAAAAGAAAUAAUUCUUGGACUGAAAGAAACUCCUGCGUCCAUUUGGGCUGAAGGUCAAGACAGAACCAAACCAAAGCUGGACUGUAACCUACUGGCCUAUAUGACAGACUUCAUACUGACAGCUACUGGCAUGGAUGCUGCAUCACAUGUUUUUGAACAAAAAAAUUUCCCUUUGAAUUUCAAGUGUGGAGUAUUCAUCCCCCAUGAGGAGACUCUAUGUCUUCAUCUCUUGUGAGUGGAUAUCAUUUUAAACAUUAUUUUACAGAACUGCUCAUUUCUUCUGAAUUUAUUUUGUAGUAUGUAAGAAUUUUCCAUUUAAAAGAAAAAUAAACUUUUAGUUGUGUUUUUAAGUAAUGAAGUAAUUCAUUGU
Molecule: long non-coding RNA, 876 nt
Filed under: Carassius auratus (goldfish)
Lineage: Eukaryota; Metazoa; Chordata; Actinopteri; Cypriniformes; Cyprinidae
Description: lncRNA (ENSCARG00000045232.1)
Source: RNAcentral